RNAcentral lists this ribosomal RNA (497 nucleotides) under uncultured bacterium. Its description in RNAcentral is "partial 16S ribosomal RNA". It matches the Rfam family "Bacterial small subunit ribosomal RNA", at positions 28 to 507 of the family's 1533-position model. The record is from RNAcentral.
GAUGAACGCUGGCGGCGUGCCUAAUACAUGCAAGUCGAGCGAACAGACGAGGAGCUUGCUCCUCUGACGUUAGCGGCGGACAGGUGAGUAACACGUGGAUAACCUACCUAUAAGACUGGGAUAACUUCGGGAAACCGGAGCUAAUACCGGAUAAUAUAUUGAACCGCAUGGUUCAAUAGUGAAAGACGGUUUUGCUGUCACUUAUAGAUGGAUCCGCGCCGCAUUAGCUAGUUGGUAAGGUAACGGCUUACCAAGGCAACGAUGCGUAGCCGACCUGAGAGGGUGAUCGGCCACACUGGAACUGAGACACGGUCCAGACUCCUACGGGAGGCAGCAGUAGGGAAUCUUCCGCAAUGGGCGAAAGUCUGACGGAGCAACGCCGCGUGAGUGAUGAAGGUCUUCGGAUCGUAAAACUCUGUUAUUAGGGAAGAACAAAUGUGUAAGUAACUAUGCACGUCUUGACGGUACCUAAUCAGAAAGCCACGGCUAACUACGUG